Molecule: ribosomal RNA, 371 nt
Filed under: uncultured organism
Description: bacterial SSU rRNA
Rfam family: Bacterial small subunit ribosomal RNA
Source: RNAcentral
CAGAGGUCUCAACCGUUGUUCGGAUUCAUUGGGCGUAAAGGGUGCGUAGGCUGCGGAGUAAGUCAGGUGUGAAAUCUCGGGGCUCAACCCCGAAACUGCACUUGAUACUGCUUCGCUCGAGUACUGGAGAGGAGACUGGAAUUUACGGUGUAGCAGUGAAAUGCGUAGAUAUCGUAAGGAAGACCAGUGGCGAAGGCGAGUCUCUGGACAGUUACUGACGCUGAGGCACGAAGGCCAGGGGAGCAAACGGGAUUAGAUACCCCGGUAGUCCUGGCAGUAAACGGUGCACGUUUGGUGUGGGAGGAUUCGACCCCUUCCGUGCCGGAGCUAACGCGUUAAACGUGCCCGCUGGGAAGUACGGUCGCAAGAUA